Molecule: RNA transcript, 2193 nt
Organism: Hippocampus zosterae (dwarf seahorse)
Lineage: Eukaryota; Metazoa; Chordata; Actinopteri; Syngnathiformes; Syngnathidae
Gene: eri1
Gene name: exoribonuclease 1
Exons: 11
Source: RefSeq, a predicted model, not a curated record
UUUUGUUUAACCCCUCAACGGAAGUUAGCCCAGCGGGAAAAAAGUUGAAAGAAAAUGCUUUCCUGUUUCUUUCACUGACAACAGCUGUUGUCUUCUUUUAACAUCGUCGCUAUAUUUACGGAUUGUUAAUACUUUUAAAAUAAUUUUAGUUACGACCAGCGCGAGUGACGGAAGUGUGUUUCAACCUCGGAGCGCGCCAAUCACGCUGCCUCGGUUAGCUAUGUUGACAUGUUAAGCUAAGUGAGGCUCAUUUCGCUGGGGUUUUUUUAUGUAUUCAUUCUUUUAUUCAAUAUUUUUUGGGGGGACGUAUGACCUUAAAUGGAGGAGCACAUGGAAAAUAUUGAUGGCAAGGAGGUGAACGUCAAGACGGCAAAUGGAGACGACGACGAGCAGAUGAAGCCCAGCACCACCAUGUGUCCCAAAGAAGGAGAAACUCCUCAGGCAUCCAACAGUGACUUCAGCCACCCCGUGUACAAGGAGAUCGCCUUGGCCAACGGUCACAUCAACCGCAUGUCCAAGGAGGAGUUGCGGCUCAAGCUGUCUCAGCUCAAGCUGGACACAAGGGGCGUGAAGGACGUGAUGAAGAAGCGACUGAAGAGCCACUACAAGAAGCAGAAGCUGACGCAGUCAGCGGCCGACUCCGGGCCGGCAGACCUCUUCUACGACUACAUCUGCGUGGUGGACUUUGAGGCCACGUGCGAGGAGGACAACCCACCAGACUUUCUGCAUGAAAUCAUCGAAUUCCCAAUGGUGCUCAUCAGCACGCACACCUUGGAGAUUGUGGGAACGUUUCAGGAAUACGUCAAACCUGAAUUGUACCCGACGCUCUCAGAUUUUUGUGUGAAGCUCACGGGAAUUACGCAGGACAAGGUGGAUGCGGCCAAGCCGUUCCCGGCCGUCCUGAAGCGAGUUGUGAAGUGGCUUGAGGAGAGGGAGUUGGGCACAAAGUACAAAUAUACGUUCCUCACGGAUGGGGCGUGGGACAUGAGCAAGUUCCUCAACAUCCAGUGUCGCAUCAGCCAGAUCCGAUACCCGCGCUUUGCCAGGAAGUGGAUCAACAUCCGCAAGUCUUACGGCAACUUCUACAAGACUUCAUUUUGCUGGAAUUUUCCAAGCUUCACUUCCUGGUGGGGUUAAAAGGAAGUGCCCUGCUCGCCAGUGGGGUCAGCGGUCAAGUGAGAUGGAAGGAUCUCAAGAGCAUCUUACUCUGAAUCCUCAAGCUGUACGGGUCCUCGAUCUCAAAGGCGGGGUCCAGCACCCGGAAGAUCACCUGGGAAACGGAAACGGACCUCUCCCUCGGUGGAGGGUUCGAUGUCUGAGUAGUGCGAGUCGCAGAUGAUGUCGUCCACCUUCACCAUAGGCCCCGGGGAUACGCCGGGAAAUGCCGUCCGGCAAUCGUAGGCAAAGUAGCGGUACACCUGCCACGUCUUCCCGAAGUCCAUCGAACGCUCGAUCACCAUGGCGGCCGGCCGGAACGUCUGAAGGUGUCCCACGAUGCAGAAGGUUUCGCCUCCACGCAGGCCGCACGUGGACGAGGCGUUGAGCUUGUGGGCGCGUCCGAUCAGCAGAUCCCCCGUGGCCGGGUAGCAGCUGCCUUCCGUGCACACAUCCGCCAACUCGGGGAACUGCGUCCAGGCAGGAGACCACAGCACCGCUGAGAGCAGAAGAGAGGACCACAUCAACAUCAUCAUCACACACACGUCCAGCUCACUCGGUAUUAAACCUCAGUUCUCGGCUACUGUCAAGACAGGCAAAAAAUUUGUGCGUGUGUGAGAACAGAAGAAAUUCUGAGGCGUGGGAGUUUUCCUUGGAGGAAUCCGUAUCCCACUACCAACAGCUCCUCCCAAAUGUCAGUGGUGCGCCCCCUUUUGGUCAAAAUGUGUUUAAAUUGGAAAAACCGUUACAUAUAUACACAAACACACAUUAAUUUGAAAUGUAUUUUAUUUAUUUAUAAAACAUUGUUUUUUCAAAUUAAUGUAUCAAAGUAUGAGCUAUGAAUACAUUUUCAGUAAUAUUUUGUAUUAAGUUGACUGCGUAAGCGCGUGAAAGCGGAUCGUUGUUUCCCGAGCUCCCGGUUUCCGGUCGAGGGGGACUUCUUUCGCUGACGGACCCGGAAGUUUUGUGAGGUUAACUCGGUGUUCAGGCAGCUGAUUCGAAACAGCACCACUGACUCCAGCCUCAUCCUGGAGAGAU